Molecule: RNase P RNA, 338 nt
Filed under: human gut metagenome
Also listed under: 1 other name
Description: Bacterial RNase P class A
Rfam family: Bacterial RNase P class A
About the family: Ribonuclease P (RNase P) is a ubiquitous endoribonuclease, found in archaea, bacteria and eukarya as well as chloroplasts and mitochondria.
Source: RNAcentral
UAAGACUGGCAAUCGCGUAUACCUUCGCGGUAUAUGAGGAAAGUCCGGGCUCCACAGGGCAGGGAUGCCGGAUAACGUCCGGCGUAGGUAACUAUAGGGAAAGUGCAACAGAAACACACCGCCGAAACGGAUCAAGCCGUGGCAAGGGUGAAAUUGUGAGGUAAGAGCUCACAGAGACACAUGGUAACAUGCGUUUCGUGUAAACCCCAUCCGGAGCAAGACCAAAAUGGACGUGAAAAGCGGCUGCCCGUCGCUGUCCGGGAGGUAGGUCGCAUGAGCCUGGCGGCAACGUCAGGCCAAGAUAGAUGAUUGUCUGAUACAGAACCCGGCUUAUGUCU